Molecule: transfer RNA, 76 nt
Filed under: Candidatus Moranbacteria bacterium RIFCSPHIGHO2_02_FULL_40_12b
Lineage: Bacteria; Candidatus Moraniibacteriota
Also listed under: 1 other name
Description: tRNA-Arg
Rfam family: tRNA
About the family: Transfer RNA (tRNA) molecules are approximately 80 nucleotides in length. Their secondary structure includes four short double-helical elements and three loops (D, anti-codon, and T loops). Further hydrogen bonds mediate the characteristic L-shaped molecular structure. tRNAs have two regions of fundamental functional importance: the anti-codon, which is responsible for specific mRNA codon recognition, and the 3' end, to which the tRNAs corresponding amino acid is attached (by aminoacyl-tRNA synthetases). tRNAs cope with the degeneracy of the genetic code in two manners: having more than one tRNA (with a specific anti-codon) for a particular amino acid; and 'wobble' base-pairing, i.e. permitting non-standard base-pairing at the 3rd anti-codon position.
Source: RNAcentral
GCGCCCUUAGCUCAGUGGAUAGAGCAUCACGCUUCGGACGUGAGGGUCGGGAGUUCAAAUCUCUCAGGGCGCGCCU